This 26487-nucleotide long non-coding RNA is filed under the name Glycine max (soybean). Its description in RNAcentral is "long non-coding RNA (GMAX_LNC002433)". Lineage: Eukaryota; Viridiplantae; Streptophyta; Magnoliopsida; Fabales; Fabaceae. The record is from RNAcentral.
UAAGCCUUUGUGGUAGAGGAAGAAAGAAAGUGAUGUCUUCCCCAUUUGGUGGCAUAAUGAUGGACCAUAGCAUGCCACUUAUGACGCUAUAGGCACAUUGUAAAGUGCCAACAAAAGCAGAAAAAACGAUACUGAAAAAAGAUAUCGUACGGUUUGGGAUUUGCGGGAAGAGUCAAAGACAACUCUUCCAUUUGGGUUUUGGGUAGCACGCGUACCUAUGACUGUAUGGGCCCUUUGCGUUUUAUAUAUUCUCAAUCUCAUCUCAUCUCAUCUCAAUUCUCUUCAUCCUGUUGAAAUCAUCAAGCACUCGCAAAAUAUAUAUAUAUAUUAGGAUAAUAGAUGAUGGAUGUCCUUUGAUCCAUUCAAUCAAUAUUAAUCUAAUAUGGUUGGGUUCAUCAAUAUUCAUACCAAAACCCGCAAUUUCCUUCAAAUUCAUUUUUUUAAUGUACAAGAUGAAAAGGUAAGGGUUAAUUAGUCACUGAAUUCAAUUAAAUUACUUCCUUGUAAUCUUAAUUAACUCUUUCUUUCUUUACAUAUUUACUAAGAAAAGUUAAAGUCAGUUUACUCAAGAUUUUCCUGCCAUCCUUUUUUUUUUUUCACAUAUUCUUUUUAUAUAUUUCAUAUAUUAUUUUUGUCCUAAUCUUUUACUUUUAAAUCUUGAUUAAUUUGAAGUUGGACUGGAAAGUAAAUAAAAUCUAAUAAAAAAAUAUUUUUUUUAAUGAUUGAACUUAAGUAAUAUUUAAAUAAUUCAAUGCAUUAACCAACACUUGAUUUUUAUAUUUUUCAUGUAUAAUCUAUAAUGUGUGUGUUAUAAUAUUAUUUAUAGUUAAUAAAAAUAAAAAUUAAGAAAUAGUAGCAAAAUAACACUUUAUUUUUAUACACAUGAAAUGAUUUAAUAAAACUAUUAUCUUGUUAUUUAUAUAAAAUGAUAAUAAUAUCUUUAUUUAUUAUCUUACCUACACCCAACUCUGUUAUUACCAAUUUACCAAAAUAAUGGUUAAGAAUAUUAAAAUCCCCCCAAAUAAAUUUAGAAAAUGAAAAGUUAGAAAGAUAGAGGGAAGAAGAGCAAAAUGGAAGAGGUUAAGGAGAGAUAAUUGUGAAAGGUUUUGAAAUUGAUAAUAAUCAUCAUGUUGAUAAUAAAUUUUAUUUUAAAGUGAUAUAAAAAUAUAAAAAAAAAGAUUUAAUGAAAUAUAUCACCACAAUAAAACUUGUCAAGUAAUAAUUUGAAUUAACAAUAGAUAUUUAAAAAAAAAAUACAUAUAGUCUUUUGCGGGGUCCUAAAAUAAUUGGAAGCUUUAAACGAUCAUUUGCAUAAAAUUAGUCAUGACCCUAUGUAUAAUCUACAAUUUUUAUAUAAAUAGUUUAAUUUCUGUUAGAUAAAUAUUAAUCUAAUAAAAACCAUUAUAACACUUACUAAUACUAGCUUUGUCCCUUAAUAAAUGAUACUACUAUUUUGUUAUUGUACUGUAAUGAAUUUCUUUUGUUUCAAUAAAUUACUCCAAAGUUUACCAAUGAUGGCAGUGAAGUUAAUCUUUAAGCUGCUGAUGAGAAGUUCGUAACUUACACUUUACUUGAGCACAUGCAAAAAGUGUUAACAGGCUGAUGUAGAACAAAAACUUGGAUUAAAGUCCAAAGAGGCUGACUUUAAUAAAGACUGAGUUGCAUGUGUUUUUGUGCUUUGUUCAUGUUUUUCUCAGAUGCAGGCUUUUCUCCUACAUUAUUAUCUUUGAUGUCCAACUCCAAGUUCGUUGCAACAUUCAGCAAUUGCUCUGCUCCCCUCCUAAUUUCUUUUAGAUCUUGGAAUCUAAUUCAGUCUCAGGCUUUGGAGUAAAGUGAGACGCAGAACAUCUUCCUUUCAACUUUAUAGCUGGUUUGAUUUAAAAAAGAAUAAACCGAUAGAAAGACUUUAAAUAUUGCUCUAGUUACUUGCUAUCUUUUUUUCGUUGGUAAAUAAUUACUUGUUAUCUAAAGAUCAAUAAACUUUGCAGCUAGUUCUUUAUUUUAUAAAUAUUCUUUUGUCAAGUUGAGCACUCGAGCUUAGUAUGUUUCUAAGCCAGAAAGACAACACACUCUUGACAUAAUACAUAUGGAUAGUGUCAUCCUUGUGUAUAUAGAUUAUAUGUCCAGACCUAAUUUUCGAUUGGACUAAUUUUAUUUGUGAACCCAACUUAGUCUUGAAUCAACUGAAUACUAAUCUAAAAUUGAUCUAGCUUGAAAUUUAGACAAAACAUACACAUUUGAAUUGUAUAAUAUGAGAAAAAAAAUUAAAAUCAAGGAAUGUUUAGUAAUAUAUAUAUAUAUAUAUAUAUAUAUAUAUCUUUCUAAACAAAUUAUAUCGAUAUAAAAAAUAUUACAUAAUGCAAAAAAAGGUCAACAAGUGAAAUAUCUUAACACUAGUUUUUGGAAGAAAAAAAUUAUAACGGUUUAUAUAUUAUAAGCACUACAAAUCAAGUGUGUUUAACCUGUCUUCCCAGUUCCCGCUUCAUCAAAUUUGCUAAAUUCUUAACUAGAUGACUUCAUAAUUAUUAGCAUUAUUAAUGUGAUUUAAAACUGAGCACUUUGUGACAAUUUUCUAGCAAAUUACACUUGAUUCAACGAGAGCAUAAAGAAAAGAGCCAGAAAUCACAGUUGGAGGUUAAAGAAAAGAAUAUCGACUUCGAGUAUAUCACUUAUUUAUCACGAAUCAGGUUGUAAAAGUGCUAUGAAAAUUUUAUUAACUAAUCUGGUAAAUUACAGUAAUAUGACCUUAUACCCAAGAUGCAAACUCACGCAUCGCUGAUUCCUUUUUCAUUUUCCCCCGUAGGUUUUAGCAUUUUCCAUUCCUUUCUAAUUAAAGAAAUAUUUUUCAGACUUUUUUUUUCAAAGUCUCUAUUUUUAUUCCAACUUCCAAAAUGUACUUAUCCAUGUGUAGCUUCGGGUCAUAUGUAACUUGCUCGUUUUUUGCCUCGUUCAUUAGAAACCAGCCUCAAAUGAGGGCAUUUGUUUGCUACACCUUCCAUUUUGCAUUUUGCACCUCCUAAAAGACUCUAACGGAUAAAAAUACUUCUUUUAUCAGGUACUCCUAUUCGAGAAUGGUUAUUCUGAAAUACGAAAAAUUAUAUUUUGUAUUCCAAAAUAGGAUCUUAUUCCGAAAUAACCGUUCUGGAAUAGGCGACAGGAUCCUGACCCAUUUUUAAUCCGCCUUUACAAAGCUUUUGAUCUCGUUUCGCUUUUGAUUUUGCCCCCUAAAAAUGGUCACAUAAACCAGAUAAUGACGCCGGAGAAGCAGAUAUUGCUGGGGCUUUUGCUUGCGAAGCAUGUUUCAUUAGAAUCAGAUGCAAACACGAGCACAAACACAACAACCUCUCUCACGGUGGAGGAUCGGACCUUGUUGGUAAAAGAGGCGGUGGCACAAGGAUUGAAGGGGGAGAGGAGGUGCUAGGGAUAAGGAUAUUUUUUACCAUUUGAGACUUUUUGAACAAGAAACAAAUGCCCUGAUAUGGUUGUACAUAGAAUACAGUUGUUAUUGUAAGCCCAUAUACAAGUAUUUUGGGCCAUUAAAAAUAGGCAAUGACCCAAGAAUGUAGAAAAGUAAAGGUGCGACAGUAGAAUAGAAGCUGACACGAGAAUAAGAGUAUGAGAUUCGAUUUGGUGGUGCUUUCACGAUGUAAUCAAUCUUAACCCACAUUUUUGGAGUUUUGCUUCGGUUAAUUUGCCAUUUUCUUCACGGACAAACGAUAAUAGCAAGCCACCACGAGCACAGGCUGGUAGUUAUACAACAUGUGGCUGUGAAUGGAUGAACGGUUACUUUCAUAUUACUACUCACCUUCGAAUCUUUGUGGUUCCAGCAUGCUCUAUCAUCUACUUUUGUUGAGUUCAAUCAUCCUGUGUUUGUGUGUCUAUAUAUUGGAAAAACUUAGUUUUGAAUGCUAGCUAAUUGUUUGGAAAGCCUAAUAGUUAAAAUUUAAAUCAAGCAAACACUUAAUUGUAUCAUUUAGAUUAUUUUACAUGACAAAUUAUACAUUACAUGAUUUUUGUUUUUUGUUUUAGUAAUUAAUGUACAAUGUAUGAUAUUAGUAAUUAGUAGUGUUUUAAUUUUAAACGUGGAAGCUACGUGACCGAGCAAAGGAUCAGAGUGGGCCCGGGUAGCAGCCAUGGUUCAUGGUCAUCUGUUGCCACUUGCCACAUUGAAAAAAAAAAAAAGUUACCACUUGCCACGACUAUCUUGGAUAAAAAGGUUUUAUCUAAACCAAAUUUGUUUUUUCACACUAAUAUUUGUGCAAAGUUUUUUUUUAAUGGGGUUGCGUUAAGUAUCUAAUUUUCUGGGUGAUUAUUUUUUAUUAAAAAUUUUGAUUCAUUUUGUUGAUGAUUAAUUUUUUCUAUUCUUAUAUCAAAUUUUAGUGAAAGAAAUUUAGUAAAAAAAUUAUUAAAUGUAAUUAGUAGAAUUAAAUAAUAUUUUCUUUAAUUGUUUUACACUAUUACUCGUUUCUUAAGAAAAUGGACUAGGUGGAAUAUUAACUAACAUUUUUAAGUAGCACAAAAAUUAAUUAAUUUUACUUGUACUUUAGGCUUAAAAGAGUUUUGAUUACUAUAUACAUGUUGAUUUUUUCACUGUAUAAAUAUACAUAAUAAAUAAUUUAAUUAGAAUAUAUUUUUAAGUCAUCAUAAUAUUAAUAUCUAAUAUAUGAUGGGUAAUAUUUUGUAAUUAUAAUUUUUCAUCCGAAAGUGCAUAAACUAAUAAUAAAUUUAUUCACUUUUAUGAGAUAACAAUUAAUAUCAAUAAAUUUAUUCAUUUAUUUAUUUCUCUGCUUUACUUUCGAGUAUUUUUCAACUUUGCAUUCGUCUAGUUGUGGAAUCCUUCUUAAUAGUACUGUUUUAGAAUUGCUAAGAUGAAGUCAAGUUUUGAAGAAUUGAAGAAGAAGAAGAAGAAAGGCGAAGGAGAGCAUUCGAAGGCAUAAACAUAAAGAAAUUGAAGAUAAUGCGAACCCUUUGCGACGUAUGCGAGAGCGCCGCUGCCAUUCUCUUCUGCGCCGCUGAUGAGGCCGCUCUCUGCUCCGCUUGUGACCACAAGGUUGCUGCUUUCUUCACUCUUUCAAUUUUACUUCUUUUUUCAUCUAUAAUUCAAUGCUUUGAAGAAUUAUUUACACUUUUCCCUGCUUUAUUGAAUUUUAUUUUACUUUUUAUAAAGUGUGUUCAAAGGAGCAACAAAUGAUGCCAAAUUCUGCUUGAAUAUUAUUGUUUCACUUCAAUUUUGGUGUUGGAUCUCAUAAGUAAGCAGUGUGCUCACUCAUUCACAAUUUUUUUCUCAGAUUUUCAUGUUGUUUUUAAUUUGCAUUUACUUCCAGUUUAGAUAUUGCUUGCUGUUGAUGUAAUUUUCUUACCUUCUUUGAGUACGACCAAAAUGAACGAGUUUCUUUUUAAGCGGAUUAACAAAUUUGCUACUAUUAUGUUUCAUUAAUUAUAUUAUAUGGCCUUGUUUGAGUAAACAUCAAUUUGUACACCUAACUUUUAUAGAAGCUCUUUCAUUUAACUUCUCCAAAAGCUUAAGUGCAUAAGUUGAUUUUAGCUUAUAUUGUGAGAAAUUCAACUCAUUUUACCUUCUUAUUGUCUUUUCCUGUAAGUGUUUACGGACAAGUUUAUCUAAACAGGGCCUAUAUCUUUUAAGAUGUUCUUUUACACCAUUGGAUUUUAAAUGCCUUUGAAUUAUUAUUGCAUGGAAUCUUCAUAUGGAGAUUGAUUCACUUAAUCAAAAGAGUUGGAAUUGGGACUCACUUGAAAAUGGCACAAGAAUAUAAGUAGCCAAGCCGGCGAAUGAAAUGAUAUUUUGCACCAGCCAUCUGUACAUACUUUCCUUGCAAAUCUUUUUAUGUUAAGUGAUGCAUCCUACAUGUGAAUUUUAUAUUUUGGAUUGGAUGGGGUAAUAAUUACUAAUACUCACUUAUUUAUGCCUUUUGACAUGUGUUUCUGGUAACGACAUUCAUGUAUAAUUUAAUGGAAGUACCAUACAUUUGCAUGUAAUUUUUUUUCUCUGACAGCAUCGUGUUUGUGGUUUGCAUUGGAGCUACAGAUCCAUAUGUGUAACAAACUUGCUAGUAGGCAUGUUCGAGUUGGCCUUGCUGACCCCACUGAUGUUCCACGCUGUGACAUAUGUGAAAAUGCACCUGGUACUGAAGGGUAUUCAUAUCUUUUUUGCAAGAUUGUGCAUUCUAAACUAUAUAGAAGUUGAACCUUUGUCCCUUGUCAUGGAAAUUUGUAUGUGUAGCUUUCUUUUACUGUGAGAUAGAUGGUAGUUCGCUGUGUCUGCAAUGUGAUAUGAUUGUGCAUGUUGGUGGUAAAAGAACCCAUGGAAGAUAUCUUCUAUUGAGGCAAAGAGCUCAGGUAUGUUUUAGGCUGCAAUGAAUUAUCAAGCUUUCUAGCUUCUGAAUAGAUAUUUUGAAGUUUAUUUAUCUUCGUUUUGGACUUUUUUAUGUCAGUUUCCAGGUGAUAAACCUGCCCAAAUGGAAGAACUAGAGCUGCAACCUAUGGAUCAAAAUGAAUCGAGAAGGGAUGAAAGUCAGUCACUCAAGCUAAAAACAAGAGAUAGUCAGCAGAAUCACAGUGUCUCACCUUUUCCAAGGCAAGAAAAUAAUAUUGAUGGUCAUGGAAAAAUGGAUAAAAAGUUAAUUGAUCUUAAUACCAGGCCACUGCGGUUAAAUGGAUCAGCACCAAACAACCAGGUAAUUUUUUUUUUCUCGUUUUCCAUAUUGAUUUGAGUUCUUGAUUUGUGGGCUGUUUUGUAAUAUGCAUUUCAUAACCCUUGAAUUUAAUUGGUUUUCUUAAGCGCUCAGAAACUACAAAAGUUGUGACACUUGAUUUAGUUGUUGAAUUAACAUAUAGUCUGUUUUUUUAAGGAACAAUGCAUGGAUAUUUUAAGAGGCAAUAAUCAUGAAUCUGCCAGUGUGCCACCAGUAGAAUCCUUCAAACAAGAGUCUGAGAAGUAACAAAGGUACAACAUAUAGGGUGUGCCAGUGUGGGCAGAGGCUACAGAAAUAUUAUGUUUACUCAAAUUUCUUUUACACUGUUGACCUUGUUUAUGUGAAUCUUGUUUUUUUUUUUGCUUAAAAUUUGAAUUGUUUGGCUGCAGACCUAAUUAAUGACGGAAAAUAGUUGCUUUCAUAUGGAUGAGCUGCAUAAACAAGGUUACUACUGCAUAAAUUCGAGGGUAUAACAUAAAUUGUUGUCCAGGAUAUACCACGUUCCUUAAAGCAGCUUAUGUCCAAUGCAUCCUUAAUAUUUUGGUUUUCCUAGUCUGACAGCAGAGGAACUGUUGGUUUUAAUACAAACUUUAUGAUAUUUUAUUACAUGUCUAUAUAUAUAUGAUUCAACCUUCAAAUUGUUGAAAUCUGCUGCCUUCAGUUUCUGUACUAUCUUAAAAGGGACGGAAUGCUAAUGCAUCGGUUAAAGUAAAGACUAUUUAUGGCCCCCCGUAGAAGAGGAACCCUCAUAUUACUCUCCAAAGUCCAAACCCUUGCACCCAGCUAACCGGCCCAAACAAUUAAAAAUGUUCAUUUUAAAAUUAGGGCUAUCAAACUGUCAUGAUUAAUCAUUCUCUAAUAUAAUUUAACAACGUGUAAUGUUUGAAUUAUCCCAAAUUUCAAAGAAAUGUUUCAAUUUUUAGGUUUAGGGGUUACCAAGUAUCUUGGCCAACUAAUCCGCAAAGAUAGGAUUAACAAAGUGUGUUCUUAUAUACUUGAUUCAUCUCAUUUUUAUUUGAAAAAAAUAAUAUUGUAUUUGGGUAUUAUCAGUCCUUUAUAGCCAGCCAACUAAACUAUUUCCAAAAUAUAGGAUUAACAAAGUAUGAAGCUUCUCUAAACAAAACAACUAAGUAUCUUGAAUUAAUUUCAUUUUGUUUUUUUCUAAAAACCGCAUAUCUUUAAUGUUAAUCUAGCAAUUAUUACCCGUUUGGUUUUAUUGUUUAGGGUUUAUUAUUAAUUUAUAUUAAACGUUUUAUAAUAAAACAUUAAUAUAUUAUAUAAAUAAAAUUGUAAAAUAUAACAAGAAUUUGAUUGAAUAGAAGUGUUAGUAAUACAUUUUUAACAAAAGAAUAUUUUGAGUUAUUUUUAUAAAUAAAAUAUUAAUAUGGGUAUUUUUUAAAUAGUUUAAUAGGUAGGUUUAAGGAGAAUAUGACACUUUGAAUUUAUUGGUCAAAAAUAUAAUUUUGACUGAUUAAUGGUCAAAAGGAACUCAUGUUGAUGAAUUAUUUUAACAGAAAUUCAUAUUAGUAUUUUAUUUAUAAAAAAUGAUCCAAAAUGGUCAAUCAUUCCAUUUUUAGCACAUUUUUUUCUACACACUUUUAUUAGUUGAAAUUUAAAAGCACAAAAUUUGAUAGGCUUUGCUUCUUAUGUAAUGAGUUUCAUUCAUCAUUAGAGAGUAUCCAAAUAAAGUUAGAGACUAUGUUAUUAACAUUUAUCUUUAAUUAAAAUACAGACUUAAAUAUAAUUUUCGUCUUCUUAUUUUAUUUCAUCUGUAACUUUAAUCCUUCAAUUUUUAAAAUAGAGACAUUUGAUCCUCAUAUUUUAGAACAUUCACAAUUUUGAUAAUUUUAUUUUAAAAUAGAGACAUUUGAUUUUUUUAAUUUUAAAAAAUUCACAUAGGCAAAAUAGAGAAUUAUGCCAAAAUUAUGAAUUUUUAAAAAAUAGAAAGACCAAAUUUCUAUAUUUUAAAAUAGGAGGACCAAAAUUAUGAAUUUUUUAAAAUAAAAAAUUAAAUGUCUUUAUUUCUAAAUGAAGGAACAAAGUUAUAAAUUGAAUAAAAUUUGAGAACUAAAAUUAUAUUUAAGUUUAAAAUAUACUAAUACCACAAGAGAUUUUUACACUAUUAUAUUACUAAUGUAUGAAAAAUUAUUUAUUUUUGUAAUAUUUACAUUAAAAAUCAUAUCUAAAAUAAUUUUAAUUAGUUGAUGAUGUUAACAUCUUUAUAAUAAUAAAUAUAUCAAAAUUAAACUCAUGUUAUAUAAAAGGACCUUGUAAGUACUAGCUUUGCUCAUUUAUAUAAUAAACAAUUGGAAAUAUCGUUUGGUCGUAACUAUGAGAAAUACUGUAUCACUUUCUAAUUUUUUUAUAUUUACUCAUUUAUAAUAAAAGUAUAUGUAUUUACUAUUUAUUAUGUAUUAAUCAUUUAAGUCAUAUUCAAUUAUGCAUGGGUGAAAAAUAUAAUUUCUUAAAUUAGGAAUUAUAUCAUUAAAUAUAAGUAUAACUGCCAAUUAAAUUAUUUAAUUUCGUGAGUAUUAUUUAAAUAAAUUUUAAAUUUAUAUUAUUUAAAUUAACUAAUUUAACCUUUGGUCUUGAUCAAAGUAGGUCUACUUUUUUGCUGGCAUUUCUGGUCUAUUUGGUUACGAUGGAAUAUCAAUUCCACCAUAGUUUAGGUUCGAACGCCGUUGCCAAAAAAUAGAUACUUGUUUCUUAUUCACGUAGUAUUUUAAUACUUAGUCAAACACGAUAGCAUGAACCCAAAAUUUUUGACAAUUGUUUCUCAACAAGAGAGAUUUUGAUUUUAGCAGAAAAGCAAUGGCAAGUGCGUUGGGUAGCAGAGUUGAAUCUGUUCGAAACUCUCACUUACUAAGCUUUUCGCUCAACUCCAUUAGAUCCUUGAGUUCUUCUUCUUCAUCCGCCGUUUCUUCUGCUCAGAACCCUAAGACUAAGAAAUCGAAGCGAAGAAAGAAGAACUUGUUCGAUGUGGCUCAGUUCUUACCUAACUGGGGAAUCGGCUACCACAUGGCCAAGACUCACUGGAAUGAAGUUUCUUACGAAAUCACUAAAAUCAAUCUCUACAAGGUGAUGCCGAUUUAUUCCUCCGCAUUUCUCACUUCUCAUGAGUAGACUCUCAUUCUUAUUUCAUUUUAUUUUACAGGAUGGAAGACAUGGAAAAGCAUGGGGGGUUGCUUUUAAAAAUGGUUAGUUAGUGUAUUGGAAUUGUUUUGACUUUUGAUUAUUCUGUUUGUUGAAGGUACUGGUAAUCAUGCUGCACUGCUAUUCUUCAAUGAGAUUGUCGGCUAGGCUAAUAAUGCCUUUUUGAAUUCUUACAUUGCCCAUAUUGGAUAAUCAAUCUAUUAUAAACUCUUAACAAAUUGAAUGAUAAGUGCAUAUUUUUUCAUAAUCAAUAAAUAUUUAGGUUUGUGAAAGUGUAGGGAGUUUCUUAUUGAGGACUAAUGGAGGUGUGUGUUUGAGUUUCAUCUGAUUGGGCAAGCUUCAUUGCCUUUUCGAGUUGCAAAUUAAAACAGGUGUGCUUCUGUCAAUUACUAUAUACAUUAUACAAUGACAUGGACAGUAGAAUAGUUCAUUGACUUUCCAUGCUUGUCUCCAUUUCCGAGCAAUGUUGCUUGUCAGAGUUUCUGAUAAUACCAUGCUGCUUAUGGAUUCUCACAUGGGAAUUUGUAGUUUUUACUUGAGUUGGUUUAUGCAGUCACUUAGGAGGUUCUGUUGGAGUUAUUUAUUGCUCAAUUUAGCCUACAUGGUUGUCCUGCUGGGCAUAAUGCCAAAUUGAUUCUUUAAUAUGCGGGCCCCUUGUCUUAAUCUACUUUAAUCAAAACUUUUCCUUUAGAUUUUCUGUCACUAUUUGGAUGCCAAAAAAUUCAACUAGUUCUCCAUUUCAUCUAUUCUGACAGCUACUUAAAACAAGAAUUGUAAAUAUAUUUUUAUGAAUUUUGAUACAAGUGUUGGUAGUAUUUCUAAUGCUAAUAUUUCGAAAGGAACAAGUCUAACAUUGCCUAGGUCAAGAUCCCUUGAAGAGUGUUUUAACACUUAUUUUUGGCUUGUAAGAACUUGCAGAGGAUUGAGCUUGUGUGCACUCCAUUACAUUUGCACCCGUCUCAGUGUUAACUUUCUCUGUUUUUUUCAUUCAUGUCCCAUAUCAAAUUAAUUAUGAUCUGUUAUAAAUCUCAUAAUUAUUGCUUAUAUGACAAUUUUGUUUCUCUUUCUGUUGCUUGGUAGAACUUGGAAGCUUUAUUUGAUAAAUUCUCAAUGUGAAUAUUGUGUGAAGCAUAAUGUACCAAAAACAAAGUGUAUAUUGUAUGAAGCAUUGUGUGAAUACUGAAGCAUUUUUUAGUACUUGUUUUCUGACUUGACUUGAUAUCAUUCAACCUAUUGCAGGCUUGCCAUUAGCAGAUGCUCCAAAAAAAAUUAGUGGAGUUCACAAGCGCUGUUGGAGAUACCUACCAAAUGUAGUAAAAGAAUUAGAAAGUUCAACAAACUUAAUGAGUUCCGCAGACAGUGACUUUGGGUUUUUAGGUCAUCGACAUUAGCCCGUCCAUGUCUUUUCAAUUUGGCUUAGUUGUUUUCGAUAAUGGUAUCGUUUCUUAGUAGAUCAUGUAAUAUUCCUUACGCAUUCAUGCAAGGUGCUUAAUUAAGUUUCUUUCUUUUUGAUUUUUAAUUAGAUAAAUGAACUCUCGACCAUGCAACGUGCUUUGAGGGAAUAAUCUGGGUGGAUUUGGUUCUUACUUUCUUUGUGUUUGUCUUUGGCCUAUUUUAUAUCCAUCCUAGUAAAUAACUAAAACUAUAUAUUUAACAGGUUAGUUAUUAGUUGGUGUUUUGAUUGUAGGUGUGGACUUUGUGCGAACACAAUUUGCUAUCCAUAUCUUUCAGUGAUGCUCAUUUAAAUUCAUCUACGUACAUGAUCAAAAGUGCUUCUGUGAAGCUAUUAGAAUUGGAUUAGCCACGAAGGAUGGAGAUAAUUUGCAUAAGAUGAUAUGGUUAAAUUUGAUCAAGUGACUAUACAUGCUAGCACAUGAAGAAAAAAUAGUGACACCUUGACUUCAUAAUAAGCUGAACCUUCAGUGCUUCGUUAAUCAGUUUCAGUUCACCCGAUAUGGGUUCACUAAUGCAACAGACACAAGGCCAACACAAGUCUUGUACUCUUGUCCUAAUUGGGUGUGAGUUGGGUAGUAAAAAUAUAUGUACCAGUGAUUGUCAUAACAAAUAAAUAACGACGACAUACAAUUGUCUUGGAAGAGCUUCUCAGCAAUACCAAAUUCAACCAGCAAAUAGUGCAAUGGAUCAUGCCGCUAUAUUCCUCCCACAGAUCAUUUAACGGGUUUUUUCAAUUUCCACACAUUUUUAAUGGGUUUUUUCAUUGAUUGCCGAGAUUCAACCAUGUUAUAUUGAGACAAUCAAUCAAGUACACAACUCACAGCAAAAAGGUUUAUAAGCUGUAAAGGUACAUGUAACCAUAAACAAAAAUAGUCUCCAAGACUAUAAAAACAUUACAUUUUAGACAAAUUAGUCUUCUUCCACUUCAUCCUCCGUCAACACCUACUACAACUGCUGGUGUUGCUGCUGCCUAACAUGUAUCAUAUUCACUACAAACAUCUUAGUAGGAGUAGCCUUUGACGAACAACUCCUUCUUGGCUUCCUCAGAUUCACCCUCACCGGUGUACUUCCCAAGCUGGGCGAGCGAGUUGGACUUGGCACGGAAAAGAAGUGCAUCUUGUGCCGCCUUCACAUUCUCUGGGCGGCCUCCCCAUGUCUUCAAGGCAGUGUUUUGGAGGGCUCUGGCAUACGAGAACGACACGUGCCACGGGUUUGGAGAUUGGUUCAUGGCAUUCAAGUUGAGGGUAGCUUCAACCUCAGACUGUCCACCAGACAAAAACUGCAUAGCACAGGAUUGGUUAAUUAGCACAUGAAAGGGAGGGAAGUUAGGAAUGCAAAGAAUGAUGAUGCAUUUGGCAUUACCAUAAUUCCAGGGACAGCAGGGGGAAUUCUCCUGUGAAGGAGCUUGAGGGUGUAAUCAGCAACUGUCUGAGGACUGGCCUUGUCCUUGGACUCAGCUCCAGGUGUAACCAUGCUAGGCUUAAGAAGAAUACCCUCAAAAAGGACAUUGUUCUCAGCAAGGUAGAAGAAAACCUCUGCCCAGACCUUUUUUGCUACUUCAAAAGUUCUGUCAAUACCAUGCUCCCCAUCAAGCAAGAUCUCUGGCUCCACAAUUGGGACCAAUCCAUUGUCCUAAAACAACCAUUAGAUGAAAACAUUAGAAAUUUAUAGAUCCUCUUCCUAGGUUUAUAUAAAAAAAGUAUCCUACCUCACAUCAUCUAUAAAUAGAAGUGUAACAAAAAAUGAAAUUAUUAAUAUAACUUGAGUGGUAUUUCUCACCUGAGCAAUUGCGGCAUAGCGAGCCAGACCCCAGGCUGCUUCCUUAACUGCCAGAGCAGAGGGACCGUUGGGGAUGCUCACAACAGUACGCCUGAUAUGGAAUUGGGGAUUGGUAUAAUAUGAUGAAAAAGAUGAGCAAGAUGUACAGCACAAGAAAAGGAGGGCAUGGAAUUAUGAAAAUGAUUUUGCUGCCACCACCACCACAAAGGGGGGGAAAUUAGCACUCACCAUUUGGCGAAACGGGCACCUUGCUGGUAGUAUGCAGCCGAGCGAGAGGCAAGACCAUCAAGACCUUGGCACCAUGACUCAUCGUUGGAACCAGCAAGGGGUACCAAACCCUGUUGUUCACGGCACAUAAACCACGCGUUAGUGCAUACAAUGCCAUACAUAUUCAAAUUCUCCCUUUUGAGUUUAACUUCAAAAUUUUCACUAUUAUAGACUACAAAAAGCUAAUCUCCAGUAUGUUACAACUAACUAGUGUUUAUGUGAGGCAUGUGACAUCUUUCCAUAUGGCCACUCUAACAAAUAUCUGGAUGAUUGAUAGUACAAUUAAACAUAAGUACAUAUCAUAUUGGCAUCAAAACUAGUGCUUAUUCUUUUCCAUUAUUAUUUCAGGCAAGGCACAGACUGAAAUGGCAUUUAACUACAUAGAAAGGAAAGGGAAGGAUAGGGUGAUUCCAAAAUCCAAAAGGCUUACCUUGUCGACUUUAAUACCGGGAACAAUGUUUUGCUCGAGGAGCACGUCAACAAUCUUCCUGCCAUCAGUUGUGGAUUGGUAGAGAGUUUCCUCAAAGAGAAUGGCACCAGAGAUGUACUGACCAAGUCCUGGAACUGUCACAAGGAGGGUACGGUACGCCUGGCGGUUAGCUUCAGUGUUCUCUAGCCCAAUUGAAGCCAAACGCUUCCCACAGGUAGCAUUGGACUCAUCCAUGGCCAAAAUACCCCUCCCUGGUGAAGCCACUGUUUUCUGUUUCCACACAAACAAGCAAGAAAACACACAGCAAAAUAUUAUUGCAUCAACAAUGUGAAAACCAUUACUUAGGGGACAAACAAGGACAGCUGCAAAGAUUUAUUUGGCUUCUUAGAUAAAGAGAAACAUACUUCAGCAAAUAAAGUGUGUAUAAUUGCUGGUUAGAAAAUUUUCAUAAUCACUAUACUUAUGCAUGUAUUUAAUCAUAAUCUCAAUUGUGACAAUUAUAACUACACUUUAUCCACUAAAUUCCUACAAAGCCAGUGUGAAAACAAAAAUAACUCAGCAGCGCGAAGAAAAUGGAUUAUGGGUGUGAAAUGAAUAGUUCAAUUAAGUUUUGUUACAAGAUGCUUUUAAUAUUUGAAUCUUAAAAACUUUUCCAUUAGUACUUGAGAAGCUAAAUUGAACAUAUUCAGUUUCUCUAUAAGCUAAAAUGAACUUAUGCUUCUUGUUAACUUUUGAAGAAGUUAAAUGAGAAAGGCUGAUAUAUAAAAGUUAAGUGCAUAAGUUAAUUUUAGUUUAUGCGAGAGAAUAGGAAGUUGUUUAUUAUUAUUAUCAUACCGCGGUCUUAACGAGCUCAUCAGCAUAGGAACCAGCUCUGAUUGUGAGGCCUGAUGGGGUGGUGGGGUUGCAUCUCACAACUGAUGCAGCAGAAGGUUGGCGAAGUGUUUGUCCCUUCACCCACUCAGACUUGUCAAGAACAAGUGAAGACUUGAGAAGAGAUGCUGAUGCAGAGGCCAUUGUUCACUGCAGGUGUUAGGCACUUAGCACUACUUCAAUAUCUUAUCUCCUACAGCAACCUUUGUAGUUGUAUGCACCUCUUUACUACACAUUCACAGCUUUCACUUCAUUUAUAGUUCUCAAGUGAUGUCUCGUUUGAGGCUGCUGUGAGCUAACCUAUCCUCACUUGACAUGUGGACGAUGAUAACUUCAGCCUUCUUCCUUCCUUCCCAUUCUCCUUUGCCAUUUAUUUCGUGGUUCAAAUGGAUGGAUUUUUUCAAGCCUCGUAAAAAUUACUUGGAAAAUAGAAAAAAAUAAAACAGAGAUAUUUUUUUUCCCAAGUCGUGACAAAUGUAUUACAUGCACCAAAAAGGGUACCAAUUAUUGUUGUCUGUAGAGGGAAGGAAACGAUCAAAGAAGUAUGAGGUUAUAAUUUACAUUGCUGAUUAACUGUUUUGUCUCCUUGUUACUGAUUUAUGGUCUUGGUUCAAUGAUAAGAUGUUGUCAAAAGUGGAUGAACAAUCAGUAUGACCAAUUUAUUCAGAGGGUACUUUAAGCUUCCUUGUUAAAUUCUAUUUAGCGUAUUAUUUAUGUUUCGUAUUUCUUAACAGUGUAAUACAUUGAUCUUUCCCUUUCUCAUGAAUUUAUGAGAAUACCAUGAUAUAGGAAUCAAAUUAAAUUGAUUGAAUAACACCUGCUGUUGCUUGAAUUUUGCAUCCACUAAGUGGGAUAUUAAGCACACGCUUUAUGUUUUGUGCAGCUCAACCUAUCACCUAUAAUAUGAAGCGAAACUGGAUCUAGGAACCGUUGAAAGAAAAAAUUAAUCAGGGUCAUCUAUAGUUUUGACUUUUGAUGCAUUCACAUUGUGCUUGAGAAGGAGACUAGGGUCAUCUGUUACUUCAUUGAUUUGUUUCAUUUUGUCUUUCAAAUGAUGAGCAUUCCCAAUUGCCUUAUAAAUCUUGAUGUCACCCAUUUAGAGAAGAAUGUUGUUAACUAGUGCCCUAAUGAUAUUAAUUAAAAAAUUACAAAUAGAAAGUUUUUAUUGGCAUUUAUAUUAGAAAUGCAUUGGAAAUCAUAACAAAUAUGCAUUGAUGAUUUUUUUUUAAUGAAAAUUUCUCAUUUUUUACUGCUUAUCGGCACUUGUUACCAUUUGUCUUUAGAGAAAUAAAUAAUCGGUCAAAAUUGAACUUACAAAUUUACAAUCCUUACAAGUCAACGCAUCUAUAACUUACUUUACACUAAUAUCAGAACUACUUUUGUUUCACAUGUCUUUUCCUGUACUUCCAUAACUCAUCCUUUUUUCUCUUCGGUUUCACAACGCCCAUCUUAUUUCUAACUACACCAAUCAUGGAUCUCCUAUCCUUUCUGUUUUUAAUUGCAGCUUUAGCAUCCAGAACUGCCCGAAGCUUCUGGUAUGAAUCGACAUCCAUCACCUGCCCACUCUUGACCAUCUCCUGGUGAUAAAAAAAUGCCUGGCUAAAAUCUCGAACACGGAGAAAUGCAUAUAUCAUAGUUGAAUAAGUUACAGAAUCUGGCUUCAAGUUAUGAGCUGCCAUCUCUUCCAACAACUCUGGCAGCUUUGAGUGUCGCCCUCCUCGUGCAUAUGCAUUCAUCAGCAUAUUGUAUGUCAUCACUGUUGGGUGCAAUCCAACAUUUGCAAAUUUAGAUAUUACAUCUCUUGCUUCCUUGUAGUAACCAUGUUUAGCAAAACCAUCAACAAGAGUGUUGAAUGUGACACGUGUUCCUUCAACUUUUUCCCUCCUCAUCAACUUCCAUAUUUUCAUCAAUGUUUGGGUGUCACCGGCACGUCUAAAUGCAUCUAGUAAAGCAGUGUAGGUUUCUAUGGAAGGUUUAAUGCCUUCCCUUUGCAUGUUUUCAAAUGCUGCAUAAGCUUUCUCAUGCCAGCCACUAACUGAAUAUGCAUGGAUCAGAGCUGUAUAAGAAUGUGAAGUGGGUUUAAUACCGUCUUUCUUCAUCUUCAAGAAUGCAUCUGCAGCCAUGUCACUCAUAUUUUUCUGCUUCCCAUAUGCACUGAUUAUACAAGUAUAUGAUUUGGCAUUUGGCUUCAAGCCAGUUUCCUGCAUUUCAGCCAUCAGCUUCUCUACAAUCUCAGGUUGCAUUUUUCUGCUGUAUGCAUACAUUAGAAUGUUGAAUGUAGCUUCAGUGGGCUUAAUCCCUUUAGUUUUCAUCUCAACAAAGAGGCCUUCAGCUUCUUCUACACGGUUGGAUUUACAAUAUGCAUCCAUCAGGGUGUUGUACACAAUUGUAUUUGAAGAAACCCCUUUCUUCUCCAGUUCAGAUAGGAUGAUGAGAGCUUCACUCAUCAAACCCUCAACACAAAAUGACUUUAUUAGUGCACCUAGGACUUCUUCACCCCAUUUGACUCCUUUUCCAUUCAUUUUCUCAAAAAAUUGCCAUGCAUCCUUUGCACUAUGGCCAAGUUUUCUCAUAACGAUAACCAUAAUAGAACAUGUCACAUGAUCUGGAAGAACAUUAUCUGCUUCCAUUGACUCAUACACCUUCCAAGCAUCUUCAUACCUAAAACAAUGAGGUAGACUUCAACAAUAAACUCUUAAAAUAUGUGGUAUAUCAGGAGAGGGGGCGGGGGGUGGGAUGCUGCCCUAAAACAUUUGUCAGAGUAGGGAGAGAUGAAAUAUCUUUUGUUUUUCAACACUGUUUGCUAUACAAGAAUUAAAUAUGUUAAUUUCACAGUUUUUAAGUUUGGAAGCAGCACAGGGAACCAAUACAGCUGAGGUAACUUGAAAUAUCUUAAUUCUCUGACAAGUAGCCAAGGAAAUUUCAUAGAUUGUAUAGUUGUUCAUAGGCUUCUUAAUAACAAACUAACCAAGAAACCUAGUACAAAACAAGCCCAAGAGGUUAAAUAAAGGACUCCAUCCAUCUGCCAUAAUGGAAAAACUGAACUAGCAUGAAAAGACUUCAUGGCAAAACUGAUGUACGUACUAGUACACUUAAUGUUCAUGUCAUAACAUUGUCUGGUUUAAUGUCAACAUUGAUCAGAAUUCUCGGUAAAAGAUGAUGCAAUAUGUCAUUUCCAGUGUUUUAGACAUAUACUAAUUAAGAAUGGGCAUGCUUUAUACCACUGCUUGGAUAACAAGCCUAUAGGCUAUAGCACAUUGGUCAUUUCUUUACUUUCCAUGAUAAUUAGAAGAAUUAUAACAGUGAAACAAGUGAACUAGUGUAUUAUUUAAUUAAAUGUGUAACAUUCUAUUCCUAUCUAAGCAAAAGUAACAAACUACUACUUGACUUGCAUUUUAAGCAGCUGAGAGAAAAAAAGCAAAGCACCACACAUGAUUUUGCAAGAAUAUAUUUUACCUGGCACUAGAAAGAAGGCCUGAAAUUGCAGCAUUAUAAACAUGAGAAUCUCUAAACUCCCUGCUAGAUGGCAAGUUUGUGAACAAAACCAUCAACUUAUCACCCAUCUUUGCUUUCCCCAACAAAGGAAACAACACAGUGCAAGCCCGAGGAGUAACAAGUGACGGUUCCUGCGACCUCAUCCACUGAAAGAAAUACAAACAACACACCAGAAGUUGCUCAUCCCCAAGUAAUUUCAAAACCUCCCAACACUCUUUCUCACUAACCCUUCUUCCUUCAUACUCAGCCAAAGCCUCCUCCAGAGUUAGAUUUUGUGGCAAGUUCCUUGCAAGCUGAACAAUCUCUCCCACAAUGCCCUCAGGCAAAGGCAAAGCCUUCUUCUGAAACACCGUUUUUUCCUUCUCUUCAAUCAAACCCAUUUCAGGUUCUUCUUCUUCUUCAAUAAGGUCAGAAGCAAGGUGCCAUGAAAUGCGACGGUUCUUCUGAAGGGACAAUUUUCCUUCUUUUCCAGGGUCUUGGGAAGAAAACCGAGUGCGGGUUUUGAAGAAUUUGUAGAUUGGAUCAUCUGGGUCAUACUCUUGUUCUUCUACUAUUGUUUCUAUGCCCUCUCCUUGUUCAUGAUUUUCUGGUUCUAGUUGUCGGAGAUAUGGGAGGAAAAUGGGGGUGUUGGAUGGUGAUGCACAAAGACAUAGGGUUUUGGAGACUGAGAAGGUUGAGGUUUUGGAGUGUGUGAGAGAGAAAGGUUUUGAAAGUGUAUGAAAGUGAAUUUGGUGUGAAAUGAAAGGGUGAUGAAAGUAAGAAGAAGGUGUGAGGUUGAGAGCCAUGGUUGGCUUGGUUUUGCAAGUUCAAGUGCAAAGGUUAUCUUGUUCUUUAACGUCGUUUUUGACCCGGUGGGUUUUGAGACCCGGACCGGUUCACUUAUUAUUACUUAUUAGUAUUUAGUAUCAUUUUUUAUUAAAACAACGUCGUUUUUGGCUAAAGGGACGCGGAUUCGAAACACCAGUCUCAUCCUUCAACCCUAGUACCGUGGAGCCACCCUUUGUCCACCGUGGUCGUCGUUGAAGGAGGUCGUCAACCGCAAGUUGCAGCCGCACCAGGUUGGCCUCACCACUGAGAGAAACAAAUUUAAUUGUUAUAUGAAAUUGUUCACACUUGAUUCCUCUGUUGCUUAGGUUGCUCUAAAUUAUUUACUACUUCUUUUGAAUCCUCUGUUGCUUAGUUGUGCAGAAUCAGGAAUCAUUGCUGUGCUUGUGAACACUAUUUUUUUUAUUCGUUUUCUUUUACUGCCAAACUUGAACCUCAUUUUUGGUCCUUGGUGGUGCUUCCAAGUCAUUCAUAAAUGGCAUGAAAGAUUUGAGUGGCAUUUGGCCAUUUUAUUAUUUGUGUUUCAAAUGACGCUUUAAUCUUAAUUUCUUGAUCUAAUAAUACAAGUUGAGAAAUUGUGCUUUUGUGGAUUUCAAAAAUGAGAUUGUGGCAUCUCAACUGUCAAGCACAACGGCAACUAAAUGGGUAUUAUAAAUUGAAUCAUUUGCAUACUUUUCUUUUUUCUUUUUAAUUUCAAAUAUUGUAAUAAUUUGGCUUCAUAUUCUAAUAGAUAGCCUUGGUUUAUAGUAUUAUUGUUUGGCUUUUACAUUGAAGUAAUCUGUUCUGAUAUGUUUUUUAAUGGGUUCCUUAUGUUGCAACACUAUAUAGAAAAUACAUAUAAAUAAAUAAAGCAUCUUCAAUUCUAUAUUGACAUGUGCCUUGGAUCAUGCGCCUUUUUUUUGCAUUUUGUUUUUCAAAAACAACACUCAUCUUCUUCCCUCUAAAUUCCUCAUAAAGGUGCAAAACAAAACGUCAUCAGCUUUGGAAACCCUAGCGUGAGGCAACAUCAAGUGUAGCAAUGGUUGAUGUCCAUAAGUUGAUUUGCCAAACCUGUAACAACGUGGGUGUUGGUGAUGGUUCUGAUGGCUUUUUCUACUGCCUUCGCUGUGGUUCUCAAUGCGAGGAUGUGAUGGACACCGCUGUUGAUGACGAUGAUCUCUUCAACAAGAGUGCUGUCUACUUGCCUAGUCACCAACGCCAGCGAUCUGUUGCAAUCAAAGCCGAGCCCAUCUCUCAGUAUGACUCCUUUUACGAUUCCCACUCCAAUUUCAUUAGGAAUCUGGGUUUAGAAGAUGAAAAUCCUCAACGAAAUGAUCAUGUUCAAGUUAAAAGAGAGGAGGAAUUUGACGCUGCCCAGUUUGAUGAGGCAAGUCCUUCUGUUCCUGCUGAUUUUGGUGGCUCCCAAGUUGCAUGCUUUGAAGACUACCACAAUGAGAUAAGGAUGCGGUAUGUGAUGGGGUUGCAGAUGAUGAUUGAGCUUCAGUGUGAAGCGCUGGUGAAGGAGUUUAAGGUGACCCCUUUAAUUUGUGGCUUGGUUGGCCCAAUUUGGUUGAGGUUUGUCUCCAAGACUGGCAUUUUCGGUGAUGACUGGGCUGAUAAAGUAAUCCAUGACUCUGAAACGCAGAAUGAAGGUAAAAUGAUGUUUUAUCUCUUAUAUUUCUACAUUUAAAUUACAAUACAUGUACCCUUUUUUGUUGCAUGGUUUGGUUCUUUAUGUUCCAGUCAAUUUCUCAAUGUACUUGUCAAUGCUUAUUUGUGGUUCAGGAUUGACCAUAAAGUUCCAAUUCUUGCUUUAUUUGCUUGUGACAUAUUUGGGGCAUUACUUGUCUUGUUCAUCAAAGGUUCACUAAUGCUUUCUGUUUGUAUUAAAAGUUCACGAAACCUUAUAAUUAACUGAAAAAUUUACUCAUUAGCAUAUUGUAUAUGAUUAGUUGCAACUCAAUUUGGUUCAUUAAGCUUGGAUUUGACCCCUUAAUUAUCAAAUGUAUUGUAAUAGCAGCAAGAUAAGAGGAUUAGCUUGUUAAUGAAGUGUGUACUAUAGUUUUUCAACAGUUGGAAGAUACUUACCAUAUUUCCAUCAAGCCUAUCUAAUAGUUUAUUUCUGCAUUGUUCUCAGAUGAACCAGAAGAUUACAAGUUACGUGCUAAAUACAGAACAGAGCCCCACAAUAUGUUUGGCAAGCGAGCUGUCAUGAUAUGGUUUAGGUCUUUAAAGAAAAGGAUUCCACUACCUUGUACUGUUGCUGUUUCAUUUCUGGCAUGUCAUGUAGCCAGGGAAGCUGUCCUGCCAUCUGACAUGAUGAAGUGGACACUUGAAGGGAAGCUUCCAUAUUUUUCUGCUUUUGUUGAAAUUGAAAAGCGCAUGGGACAACCAACAAGUGCAUGUCCUAUUAGUUCAAGUGUUAUGUUCAGGCCCCAACAAGCUAUUCCAGUACAGAAGCUAGAGUCAUUUGCUGCAUCCAUUGCUCAGUUCAUAGGCUUGGAGUUACCUCCCGUGAACUUUUAUGCUAUAGCUUAUCUUUUUCUUCAAAAGUUAUCACUGCCUGUUGAAAAGAUUCUUCCUUAUGCAUGCCGCAUAUAUGAAUGGUCGAUGCCUCCUGAUUUGUGGUUAUCCUUAUCCAGUAAUUAUUUUAGGCUACCUACUCAUGUAUGCGUUAUGUCAAUUCUGGUAGUAGCAAUAAGGAUAUUGUAUAACAUAAAUGGCUUUGGAGAGUGGGAGAAGAGUUUGUCUCGUGAUGAUGAUGCCAAAGACAACAGUGAAAUGGGUAAUGCUUUUGCCUCUGAUAAUGGACAUGAUUUUGGUAAAGAAUCUAAAGAUUCAGCUGAAGAUCAAGUAGGAUCUCAGAAACACGAAUUGGAUUCUGCCUGGCUUCUCCAACAUCUUCAAGCAAGAUAUAAUGAGAUUGCAGAUACCUAUGGUGAAGUUUUUGUUUACUUAUAUUAUUAUAUUUAACCAAACCUAUGUUGCACGAGUUGAUAUUCUAUUUUCGUCCUAUUUUUUACAACAAUUAAAUGACUAUCUAACAUCCAGUAUUUAUGGACAGGGUAUUCAAAGGACUUGGCUACAUAUCUCAAAUACUGUAGGGAUGUUGUCUUUGCUGGAUCAGAACCAUCUUAUGGUAAUCACGAGGAAGAAAAAAUGAUAGAAUACCUAUGGAAAUUUUAUCAGAAUGAAGAGGUAAUUAAAGAAUUGAGCUAGUUAUUCUAUUGAUAUGCACAGGCCUUUAGAAUUAGGAUGUCUUGGAAUUACUUUCAAGUUUAAACUUCUUUUUUUCUUCUUAUUUCCUGGGAUAUGUUAAGAAAGAAGUAGCGCCUCUGCCUGUGCUCUUUUGUCUAUGGGACAUGGCUCGGCUGUUCAUGAUUUUCAAUUUCUUUCCCAGUGAAGCUUGGAAAAUAAAUUGGCUACAUCACUGUUUCCUAAAGUAAAGGACGUCGAAAUUCAAGAAAAAUAUCAUGAAUGAACUAUUGUCCCCACGGACUUAUUUCCUCAGAUCAAAUUUGUACAAAAUAGAAUAAAGAGAAGAAUUUAUUUUCUUUUUCCUGCGGAAAUGAAGGGACUCAAUCUAGUGCCAGCCAUUUAUCUAUCUUUAAAUUUCUCUAAAAACUUUUGUUUUGAUGAAAGUGAUUGAGAGAAAUUUCUAGAAGAUGGCAUGUUGCUUGUUACUUUUACAUAUUGUUAUUAUUAUUUGAAUACAUUUACUUGGUUCAACAAUCAAAAUUACGACAUACCUGAUUCCUGUAAGUAAUGCUCAUAUAUUCAUGGGUCAACUGAUAUGUCACUGCUAGUACCUUCACUCACUGAAGGUUUGUUGUGCUCUAACGAUAUGUAAUUGGAAUCAGUGAAGGGCUGUACAUUCAUAUUCUCUUAAUGAAAUCUUGUAGUUAUAGAUGCUCAUAUAGUGAGUGCAGAAUUUAUGGAGAUAACAUUAAUGAAGAUCUCCUACAUGAAUAUUUUCCUCCAAAUAUUAUGGUUAUAUAUAUAAAAAAUUGUAUUCCAUCAUCUCCUAAAUGUUAUAUGUUGGGCAGAUUUUAUUAAAUAAAAAUAUUUUUUUGUCUAUCUGCCUUGGUAUGUCUAGUUUCCGGGAGUUGUUUUUGUUGUCUGAGUACAUCAUGAAGAAUGUCUGUCAAAAUGUGUUGUAUAACACUUUCUCCUUUUUCUGUUUUAGGAUACAAAACCAUCAGAAAAUGUAGAGCAGUCAAAUACUUCUUUCAACCAAACGAGUUCCAGGGAUAAAGGAUGCAUUGGCAAGAUAUCCAAGGAGGAAAAGAUUAGAAAAAAAGGUUUUAAUGAACUCUUUCCUGAUGAUGACACCAGCCUUGAAGAUGUGAGCAACAAUAAUUCCCAUGAGAGUUUGUCAGACAGUGAAGACUCAGAUUCCCAAGAGCACAGUUCAGGAAAAUCUCAUGUCAAGGAAGCCAUUAGACAGAUGAAAUUAGAGAUGGAGGAGAACAGAUUUUAUUAUAUACCACCUAGUGUCAAGCGAAAAAGACUUGAUUAUAUUCACUAUGUGAGAAAGAGGGACGAAGGUGCGCUGACUUAUGUUGCUCAUGCUGAUUAUUACAUUUUGCUUCGGGCUUGUGCCAGGAUUGCACAAGUUGACAUUCGGAUUUUGCAUAUUGGUGUGUUGAGACUUGAGAGAAGACUUGCUUGGUUGGAAAAACGGAUUGAUCAAUGCUUACAUUCCAAACCAACUAGCAUUUCUUGUCAAUUUUGUUGUAAUAAGGCCACGGAAAAUGGAUCUGAUGGUCUUCCUGGAUUAUCAAAUUUGAAUAUUUGAGAAUUGAUAGUUUAACUUUAAGAAAUAGUAGAAUGGAGGAAGGAUGCUCCGAUUCCUUCUUUUUUUUUUCUUUUGAUUUUCAAUUAUUCAUACAAGAAUAAAUAUUAGGAAUAAGAUAAGAGGAUGAGAACCAAAGAAAAAUUAAAAAGGAUGAAACGACACUUGGUUUUUCAUAAUCAAUAAAUAUUUAGGUUAAUGAAAGUGUAGGGAGUUUCUUAUUGAGGACUAAUGGAGGUGUGUGUUUGAGUUUCAUCUGAUUGGGCAAGCUUCAUUGCCUUUUCGAGUUGCAAAUUAAAACCGGUGUCCUUCUGUCAAUUACGAUAUACAUUAUACAAUGACUUGGAAAGUAGAAUCGUUCAUUGACUUUCCAUGCUUGUCUCCAUUUCCGAGCAAUGUUGCUUGUCAGAGUUUCUGAUAAUAACAUGCUGCUUAUGGAUUCUCACAUGGGAAUUAGUAGUUUUUACUUGAGUUGGUUUAUGCAGUCACUUAGGAGGUUCUGUUGGAGUUAUUUAUUGAUCAAUUUAGCCUACAUAAUUGUCCUUCUUGGCAUAAUGCCAAAUUGAUUCUUUAUUAUGCGGGUCCCUUGUCUUAAUCUACUUUAAUCAAAACGUUUCCUUUAGAUUUUCAGUCACUAUUUGGAUGCCAAAAAAUUCAACUAGUUCUCCAUUUCAUCUAUUCUGAAAGCUACUUAAAACAAGAAUUGUAAAUAUAUUUUUAUGAAUUUUGAUACAAGUGUUGGUAGUAUUUCUAAUGCUAAUAUUUCGAAAGGAAAGUCUAACAUUACCUAGGUGAAGAGCCCUUGAAGUUUUAACACUUAUUUUUGGCUUGUAAGAACUUGCAGAGGAUUGAGCUUGUGUGCAUAAGUUCGGUCGAAGGGUGCCACAUUUGCACUCCAUUGCAUUUGCACCCGUCUCAGUGUUAACUUUCUCUGUUUUUUUCAUUCAUGUUCCAUAUCAAAUUAAUUAUGAUCUGUUAUAAAUCUCGUAAUUUUUGCUUAUUUGACAUUUUUGUUUCUGUUGCUUGUUAGAACUUGGAAGCUUUAUUUGAUAAAUUCUCACAGUGAAUAUUGUGUGAAGCAUAAUGUACCAAAAACAAAGUGUAUACUGUAUGAAGCAUUGUGUGAAUACUGAAGCAUUUUUUAGUACUUGUUUUCUGACUUGACUUGAUAUCAUUCAAUCAAUUGCAGGCUUGCCAUUAGCAGAUGCUCCAAAAAAAAUUAGUGGAGUUCAAAAGCGCUAUUGGAGAUACCUACCAAAUGUAGUAAAAGCAUUAGAAAGUUCAACAAACUUAACUAGUGCAGUAAACAGUGACUUUGGAUUUUUAGGUCAUGGACAUUAUCCCAUCCAUGCCUUUUCAAUUUGGCUUAGUUGUUUUCAACCAUGGUAUCAUUUUUUAGUCGAUCAUGUAAUAUUCCUUACGCAUUCAUACAAGGAGCUGAAUUCAGUUUCUUUCUUUUAGAUUUUUAAUUAAAUAAAUGAACUCUCGACCAUGAAACGUGCUUUGAGGGAGUAAUCUGGAUGGAUUUGGUUCUUACUUUCUUUGUGUUUGUCUUUGACCUAUUUUAUAUCCAUUCUAGUAAAUAACUAAAUCUAUAUAUUUAACAGGUUAGUUAUCAGUUGGUGUUUUGAUUGUAGAUAUGUACUUUGUGAAUGAACACAAUUUGGUAUCCAUAUCUUUCAGUGAUGCUCAUUUAAAUUCAUCUACGUACAUGAUCAAAAGUGCUUCUGUGAAGCUACAAAAAUAGUGAUCAAGAGACUGUACAUGCUAGCACAUGAAGAAAAAAUAGUGACACCUUGACUUUAUAAUAUGCUGAACCUGCAGUGCUUCGUUGAUCAGUUUCAGUUCACCUGAUAUGGGUUCACUAAUGCAACAGACACAAGGCCAACACAAGUCUUGUACUAUUGUCCUAAUUGGGUAUGAGUUGGGUAGUAAAAGUAUAUGUACUAGUGAUUGUCAUAAUAAAUAAAUAUCGACAACAUAAAAUUGUCUUAGAAGAGCUUCUCAGCAAUACCAAAUUCAACCAGCAAAUACUCCAAUGGAUCAUGCUGCUAUAUUCCUCCCAAAGAUCAUUUAAUGGGUUUUUUCAAUUUCAACACAUUUUUUAAUGGGUUUUUUCAUUGAUUGCCGAGAUUCAACCAUGUUUGUUAUAUAUUGAGACAUAAUCAAUCAAGUACACCACUCACAGCAGAAGGUUUAUAAGCUGUAAAGGUACAUGUAACCAUAAACAAAAAUAGUCUCCAAGACUAUAAAAACAUUACAUUUUAGACAAAUUAGUCUUCUUCCACUUCAUCCUCCGUCAACACCUACUAUAACUGCUGGUGUUGCUGCUGCCUAACAUGUAUCAUAUUCACUACAUACAUCUUAGUAGGAGUAGCCUUUGACGAACAACUCCUUCUUGGCUUCCUCGGAUUCACCCUCACCGGUGUACUUCCCAAGCUGGGCGAGCGAGUUGGACUUGGCACGGAAAAGGAGUGCAUCUUGUGCCGCCUUCACGUUCUCUGGGCGGCCUCCCCAUGUCUUCAAGGCAGUGUUUUGGAGGGCUCUGGCAUACGAGAACGACACGUGCCACGGGUUUGGAGAUUGGUUCAUGGCAUUCAAGUUGAGGGUAGCUUCAACCUCAGACUGUCCACCAGACAAAAACUGCAUAGCACAGGAUUGGUUAAUUAGCACAUGAAAGGGAGGGAAGUUAGGAAUGCAAAGAAUGAUGAUGCAUUUGGCAUUAC